GUGAGGAAUUUUCCGCAAUGGGCGAAAGCCUGACGGAGCAAAGCCGCGUGAAGGAUGAAGGCCUAUGGGUUGUAAACUUCUUUUCUCAGAAAAGAAUUAUGACGGUAUCUGAGGAAUAAGCAUCGGCUAACUCUGUGCCAGCAGCCGCGGUAAGACAGAGGAUGCAAGCGUUAUCCGGAAUGAUUGGGCGUAAAGCGUCUGUAGGUUGUUUAAAAAGUAUUCUGUCAAAGAUUAGGGCUUAACCCUAGAUAGGCAGAAUAAACUUUUAAGCUAGAGUUUGGUAGAGGCAGAGGGAAUUCCCGGUGGAGCGGUGAAAUGCGUAGAUAUCGGGAGGAACACCAAAGGCGAAGGCACUCUGCUGGGCCAAUACUAACACUGAGAGACGAAAGCGAGGGGAGCAAAUGGGAUUAGAUACCCCAGUAGUCC
Molecule: ribosomal RNA, 426 nt
Filed under: uncultured bacterium
Lineage: Bacteria
Description: partial 16S ribosomal RNA
Rfam family: Bacterial small subunit ribosomal RNA
Source: RNAcentral